This 229-nucleotide ribosomal RNA is filed under the name uncultured bacterium. RNAcentral describes it as "partial 16S ribosomal RNA". It matches the Rfam family "Bacterial small subunit ribosomal RNA", at positions 568 to 796 of the family's 1533-position model. The record is from RNAcentral.
CGUGUAGGCGGCUAGAUGUGUCUGAUGUGAAAUCCCUCGGCUCAACCGGGGAACUGCAUUGGAAACUAUCUGGCUUGAGUGUGAGAGAGGGUGGCAGAAUUCCUAAUGUAGAGGUGAAAUUCGUAGAUAUUAGGAGGAAUACCAGAGGCGAAGGCGGCCACCUGGCUCACUACUGACGCUGAGACGCGAAAGCGUGGGGAGCAAACAGGAUUAGAUACCCUGGUAGUCC